UUACCUAGCGGGGCUACCCACUGAGUUUAAGCAUAUCAAUAAGUAAAGGAAAAGAAACUUACAAGGAUUCCCCUAGUAAUGAGCACCCUCGGUGUUUGAAUUGUAGUCUGAAUAAGCAUCGUCAACGGCGGACCAAGCUCAAGUCCCCUCGAAGGGGCCACCUGAGAGGGUGAGAGCCCCAUCGUGCCUGGACCCUUUCGGACCAUGAGGCGCUAUCGGUGAGUUGGAUUGUUUAGGAAUGCAGCCUAAAUAGGGCAGUAAAUUUGUUCCAAGGCUAAAUGUGGGCAAGAGAUCAAGGGCAAAUAAGUACCGUGAGGGAAAGAUGAAAAAGACUUUGAAAAGAAAGUCAAAGAGUGCUUGAAAUUGUAGGGAGGGGACCGAAUAGGGGCCGACAAUGCGCCUCACUCGAAUGCAAAAUAGUGAGAGCCAGUCUGCCGAUCAACUCAGGACACAGACUGAUGCAAAUUACGAUGGUGGCCCAAGCCCGGGCUGUACAAAUGCCAAUGAAGACGUUGUCACCCUGAUCAUGGUUGGCAGUGUGCACUAUCACGGGGUGCUUCGGCACCUGCGUGCUCCUGGCAUUGACCUAUGGGCUCCCCAUUUGGCAUCUCUUGAAACACGGAGGAGUCUGACAUGUGUGUGAGUCAAUAAGCCAGUAAACCUGUAAGGCACAAGGAAGCUGAAUGGUGGGAUCCCCACACGGGUUGCACCGCCAACCGACCUUGAUCUUUUAGGAAGGGUUCGAGUGAGAGCAUGCCUAUUGGGACCCGAAAGAUGGUGAACUAUGCCUAAACGGGGUAAAGCCAGAGGAAACUUUGGUGGAGGCUCACAGCAAUACUGAUGUGCAAAUCGUUCGUCUGACUUGGGUAUCUAGGCGAAAGACUAAUCGACCGUCUAGUAGAUGGUUCCCUCCGAAGUUUCCCUCAGGAUAGUUGGAGCCCGCAGACGAGUUCUAUCGGGUAAAGCCAAUGAUUAGAGGCAUCGAGGGCCCAAUUCCCUUGACCUAUUCUCAAACUUUAAAUAGGUAGGAUGGAGCGGCUGCUCCAUUGAGCCGUGCUACAGAAUUGAGAGCUCCAAGUGGGCCAUUUUUGGUAAGUAGAACUAGCGAUGUGGGAUGAACCGCAAGCUAGGUUAUAGUGCCCAACUAUGUGCUAACCUAGAACCCACAAAGGGUGUUGGGCGAUUAAGAUAGCAGGAUAGUGGUCAUGGAAGUCGAAAUCUGCUCAUGAGUGUGGAACAACUCAUCUACCGAAUCAACUAGCCCUAAAAAUGGAUGGCGCUGAAGCGCGCUAGGCCCCGGUGAGUAGGAGGGCACGGCGGUCGGUACAGAUCUUGGUGGUAAUAGUAAAUAUUCAAAUGAGAACUUUGAAGGCUAAAGAGGGGAAAGGUUCCAUGUGAACGACACUUGCACAUGGGUUAGUCGAUCCUAAAAACUGGGGGAAGCCCAUCUGAUAGCACGAUCAACUAGAAUUUCGAAUGGGAAUCAAGUUAAAAUUCCUGAACCGGGAUGUGGCAACUGACGGCAACGUUAGGGAGUCCAGAGAUGUCAGCGAGGGCUUGGGAAAAAGUUAUAUUUUCUGUUUAACAGCCUGCCCACCCUAGAAACGACUCAGUCGUAGGUAGGGUCUAGUAGCUAGAAGAGCACCGUACGUCGCGUGGUGUCAAGUGCACCCCUGGCAGCCCUUGAAAAUCUAGAGGAUCAAGUGCCUCCCACACCCGGUCGUACUCAUAACCGCAUCAGAUCUUCAAAGUGAAUAGACUCUGGCCAAUGGAACAAUGUAGGCAAGGGAAGUCAAAAAAAUGGAUUCGUAAAAGGAUUGGCUCUAAGUGCUGGGCAUGGGGGUCCCAAUCCUGAAACCAUCGAUUGUCGAUGGACUGCUCGAGCUACUCCCGCGGUGAGAGUGGUUCAUCGCGUGCUGACUGGGGGAUGAACUAGGAAAAGGUCCCUUUGGGGGCCCUUCCCCAAGCGUCGAACAAUCGAUUCAGAACUGGUACAGACAAGGGGAAUCUGACUUUUUAAUUAAAACAAUGCAUUGUGAUGGUCCCUGCGGAUGCUCACCAGUGCACUGAAUGUUAAAGUGAAGAAAUUCAAACUAGCGCGGGUAAAUGGCGGGUGUAAAUAUGACUCUCUUAAGGUAGCCAAAUGCCUUGUCAUCUAAUUAGUGAUGUGCAUGAAUGGAUUAAUGAGAUUCAAACUAUCCCUAUCUACUAUGCAGCAAAACCACAGCCAAAGGAACUGGCUUGGCAGAAUCAGUGGGGAAAGAAGACCCUGUUGAGCUUGACUCUAAUCCGACUUUGUGAAAUGACUUGAGAGGUGUAGUAUAAGUGGGAGCCGACAAUGGCGAAAGUGAAAUACCACCACUUUUAACGUUAUUUUACUUAUUCCAUGAAUCGGAAGUGGGGCACUACCCCUCUUUUUGGACCCAAAGCCUGCCUCAACUGGCCGAUCUGAGUGGAAGACAUUGUCAGGUGGGGAGUUUGGUUGGGGUGACACAUCUGUUAAAAGAUAAGCUCAACAAGAAUAGAAAUCUCAUGUGGAACAAAGGGGUAAAAGCUUGUUUGAUUCUGAUUUUUUGUAUGAAUACGAACCGUGAAAGUGUUGCCUAUCGAUCCUUUAGACCUUUUGGAAUUUGAAGCUAGAGGUGUCAAAAAAGUUACCACAGGGAUAACUGGCUUGUGGCAGCCAAGUGUUCAUAGCGACGUUGCCUUUUAAUCUUUCGAUGUUGGCUCUUCCUAUCAUUGUGAAGCAGAAUUCACCAAGUGUUUGAUUGUUCACCCACCAAUAGGGAACAUGAGUUGGGUUUAGACCACCGUGAGACAAGUUAGUUUUACCCUACUGAUGAUAGUGUCACAAUAGUAAUUCAAUCUAGUACGAGAGGAACUGUGGAUUAGCACAAUUAGCCAUCGCGCUUGGUUGAAAAGCAAGUGGUGUAAAGCCACCGUGUGCUAGAUUAUGACUGAACGCUCUAAGUUAGAAUCCGGGCUAGAAGCGAUGUAUGAACUCGCCGCUUGUUUUCUGACCCGCUGUAGGGGCCUUGGUCCCUAAAGGCACGUGUCGUUGGCCAAGCCCGUGUGGUGGACAUGCCGUUCGAGUGGCCUUGAAGUUCAAUUCCUACAGAGCGGUGGGUAGAAU
Molecule: ribosomal RNA, 3133 nt
Filed under: Ziziphus jujuba (common jujube)
Lineage: Eukaryota; Viridiplantae; Streptophyta; Magnoliopsida; Rosales; Rhamnaceae
Description: eukaryotic LSU rRNA
Rfam family: Eukaryotic large subunit ribosomal RNA
Source: RNAcentral